This 43-nucleotide ribosomal RNA is filed under the name Peromyscus maniculatus bairdii (prairie deer mouse). Lineage: Eukaryota; Metazoa; Chordata; Mammalia; Rodentia; Cricetidae. The record is from RNAcentral.
CUUGAAUGCACCCGAUCUUGUCUCAUCUUGGAAGCUAAGCAAG